GUGUUUCUUUAGAUUUUCUAGACAUUUAUAUCACCUACAUUAGAUAUCAUUUUGCCUUUUCCGUUCCAAUUAUUAUAUUUCCAAUUGUUUAUUCAUUUCAGUAGCUAAUAUUUCCAACAUGAUAUUCAGUCAGAUGGGGACAACUGAUAUCUUUUUGUUCCUGAUUUGAGCAGGAAAUUUCCUUUCAUUUCUCCAUCAGCUCAGAACCUAGUGGCAGUAAUGGGGGGAGCGAUUGGCAUGCUUUGUCAGCGCUUGAGUAAAUAGCGAUCAGCUGGGAAAGACAUGCCUAACUGUAUUUCUGAAGGAUAGAAAGAAACCUAGAAUAAAUGUAAAGUUUUGAUCUUCAUAUUUGCAAAUAAUUAUUCUUCUGUAACACCAAGCUAAGAAGAGGUAAGAACAAUAAAUCACUUUAUAAGGAAAUCUUUAAA
RNAcentral lists this long non-coding RNA (428 nucleotides) under Homo sapiens (human). RNAcentral describes it as "long non-coding RNA NONHSAT200717.1". Lineage: Eukaryota; Metazoa; Chordata; Mammalia; Primates; Hominidae. The record is from RNAcentral.